RNAcentral lists this ribosomal RNA (390 nucleotides) under uncultured bacterium. RNAcentral's name for it is "bacterial SSU rRNA". It matches the Rfam family "Bacterial small subunit ribosomal RNA", at positions 30 to 422 of the family's 1533-position model. The record is from RNAcentral.
AUUGAACGCUGGCGGCAUGCCUUACACAUGCAAGUCGAACGGUAACGGGCCUUCGGGUGCCGACGAGUGGCGAACGGGUGAGUAAUGCAUCGGAACGUACCUUUCAGUGGGGGAUAACGUAGCGAAAGUUACGCUAAUACCGCAUAUUCUGUGAGCAGGAAAGCAGGGGAUCGCAAGACCUUGCGCUGAUUGAGCGGCCGAUGUCAGAUUAGCUAGUUGGUGAGGUAAAGGCUCACCAAGGCGACGAUCUGUAGCGGGUCUGGGAGGAUGAUCCGCCACACUGGAACUGGGACACGGUCCAGACUCCUACGGGAGGCAGCAGUGGGGAAUUUUGGACAAUGGGGGCAACCCUGAUCCAGCCAUGCCGCGUGAGUGAAGAAGGCCUUCGGG